AGCUAUGAAAGCUAAUGGGUUCAUACCUCAUAUAUGAAAUUAUAUUUAUUC
This 51-nucleotide transfer RNA is filed under the name Cheiracanthium brevispinum. RNAcentral describes it as "tRNA-Met". The record is from RNAcentral. Lineage: Eukaryota; Metazoa; Arthropoda; Arachnida; Araneae; Cheiracanthiidae.